GCACACUUCAACUCAUCUUCUAUCCAACAAAAAGAUAUUCACAUUACAAUAGAUAAUACUAGUAACAAAUUAAAUGGGCAUAUAAUAGCUUGCAAUAGUCAAAUUUUCAUCAAUUCACAACCCAACAGAACAUAACAAACAACAUCACAUGAGAGGAAACAUCCAUUUUGUUCCACUUGAAGUAUGCUUCUUCCAACUUUCGGUUGGAGCUGUUCUACUUGGACCUCCACACCACCCGUAGAAGCUGCUAGUCAUCCAUGCACCUUGUACUCUUUAUGUACAUGCAAAUAUAUUACAAGAUAAAGACAUUAAAAGCCAAAUUCAACAUGGCAAAAUCAUUUAAAAUUAUGAAGUGCUUGGAAUUUGGAAUUGCACAAUACAAAAUUUUAGUGAAUCAAAGUGAUACGGAUUAUGGCAGGAAGAAAUUUGAAGCUAUGUAAAAAUGUCCAGUCAGUUCACUCAUGCAAAUAACAGCACUUCCAAUGAGCAAUCAAACAACAAAGCACCAUCUUUUUUGUACUGCUCACAUUUAACAAAUUAAUCGAGCUAGAGCAACAAAGGAUACUAAUA
This 570-nucleotide long non-coding RNA is filed under the name Hordeum vulgare. RNAcentral's name for it is "long non-coding RNA (HVUL_LNC005521)". The record is from RNAcentral. Lineage: Eukaryota; Viridiplantae; Streptophyta; Magnoliopsida; Poales; Poaceae.